UCCCUGGUAGCUCAGUUGGUAAAGAAUCUGCCUGCAAUGCAGGAGACCCUGGUUUGAUUCCUGGGUCGGGAA
RNAcentral lists this transfer RNA (72 nucleotides) under Odocoileus virginianus texanus. It matches the Rfam family "tRNA". From Rfam's summary of the family: Transfer RNA (tRNA) molecules are approximately 80 nucleotides in length. Their secondary structure includes four short double-helical elements and three loops (D, anti-codon, and T loops). Further hydrogen bonds mediate the characteristic L-shaped molecular structure. tRNAs have two regions of fundamental functional importance: the anti-codon, which is responsible for specific mRNA codon recognition, and the 3' end, to which the tRNAs corresponding amino acid is attached (by aminoacyl-tRNA synthetases). tRNAs cope with the degeneracy of the genetic code in two manners: having more than one tRNA (with a specific anti-codon) for a particular amino acid; and 'wobble' base-pairing, i.e. permitting non-standard base-pairing at the 3rd anti-codon position. RNAcentral also lists the same sequence under 2 other names. The record is from Rfam by way of RNAcentral. Lineage: Eukaryota; Metazoa; Chordata; Mammalia; Artiodactyla; Cervidae.